Molecule: ribosomal RNA, 229 nt
Filed under: uncultured bacterium
Lineage: Bacteria
Description: partial 16S ribosomal RNA
Rfam family: Bacterial small subunit ribosomal RNA
Source: RNAcentral
UCCGCAGGGGGUCAACUAAGUCUGAUGUGAAAUCCUAUGGCUCAACCAUAGAACUGCAUUGGAAACUGGAUGACUAGAGUAUCGGAGAGGAGAAUGGAAUUCCUAGUGUAGCGGUGGAAUGCGUAGAUAUUAGGAAGAACACCAAGAGCGAAGGCAGUUCUCUGGACGAUCACUGACCCUCAGGGACGAAAGCGUGGGGAGCGAACAGGAUUAGAUACCCUGGUAGUCC